UACAGAGGUCUCAAGCGUUGUUCGGAUUCAUUGGGCGUAAAGGGUGCGUAGGUGGCGCGGUAAGUCGGGUGUGAAAUUUCGGAGCUUAACUCCGAAACUGCAUUCGAUACUGCCGUGCUUGAGGACUGGAGAGGGAUGCGGAAUUCCAGGUGUAGCGGUGAAAUGCGUAGAUAUCUGGAGGAACACCGGUGGCGAAGGCGGCAUCCUGGACCGGCAUUGACGCUGAGGCGCGAAAGCCAGGGGAGCAAACGGG
RNAcentral lists this ribosomal RNA (253 nucleotides) under uncultured bacterium. RNAcentral's name for it is "partial 16S ribosomal RNA". It matches the Rfam family "Bacterial small subunit ribosomal RNA", at positions 524 to 776 of the family's 1533-position model. The record is from RNAcentral.